This 490-nucleotide ribosomal RNA is filed under the name Alternaria tenuissima. RNAcentral describes it as "eukaryotic LSU rRNA". The stretch from base 127 to 280 matches the Rfam family "5.8S ribosomal RNA". Lineage: Eukaryota; Fungi; Ascomycota; Dothideomycetes; Pleosporales; Pleosporaceae. RNAcentral also lists the same sequence under 1 other name. The record is from RNAcentral.
GCCUUGCUGAAUUAUUCACCCUUGUCUUUUGCGUACUUCUUGUUUCCUUGGUGGGUUCGCCCACCACUAGGACAAACAUAAACCUUUUGUAAUUGCAAUCAGCGUCAGUAACAAAUUAAUAAUUACAACUUUCAACAACGGAUCUCUUGGUUCUGGCAUCGAUGAAGAACGCAGCGAAAUGCGAUAAGUAGUGUGAAUUGCAGAAUUCAGUGAAUCAUCGAAUCUUUGAACGCACAUUGCGCCCUUUGGUAUUCCAAAGGGCAUGCCUGUUCGAGCGUCAUUUGUACCCUCAAGCUUUGCUUGGUGUUGGGCGUCUUGUCUCUAGCUUUGCUGGAGACUCGCCUUAAAGUAAUUGGCAGCCGGCCUACUGGUUUCGGAGCGCAGCACAAGUCGCACUCUCUAUCAGCAAAGGUCUAGCAUCCAUUAAGCCUUUUUUUCAACUUUUGACCUCGGAUCAGGUAGGGAUACCCGCUGAACUUAAGCAUAUCAA